UUGUUUGUGUUAUUAAAAUAUUAAAAACAUCAGUUUUGCGGUUGAUUGCUAUGAAAAAGCAAAAUGCCUCGAGCUUACGAAAAAAAGACCGAUAGAAGUUCUUA
Maniola jurtina (meadow brown) is the source of this 104-nucleotide long non-coding RNA. RefSeq lists it as uncharacterized. Lineage: Eukaryota; Metazoa; Arthropoda; Insecta; Lepidoptera; Nymphalidae. The record is from RefSeq and is a predicted model, not a curated record. The transcript has 2 exons.